Molecule: long non-coding RNA, 1040 nt
Filed under: Equus caballus (horse)
Lineage: Eukaryota; Metazoa; Chordata; Mammalia; Perissodactyla; Equidae
Description: lncRNA (ENSECAG00000046506.1)
Source: RNAcentral
UAGAGGACAAAAUGAUUUUGUGUUUGUAUUCCCCAAAGAGCUGAGAAUCCACCAUCACGCUAACCAAAGGGCUAGUUGAAGGGAUGAUCAGAAUGAGAGAAGACACAACACUAUUCUUGAAAGGUAACUGAGUUUGGCCCAGCCCUUCACAGCCUGUGGGAACUAAUGGGGUGACAGUAGUAGAACUGACUUAUUUUUCACUGCAUCAUGCCCCUACAGGGCGCUUUAAGUGCUUCCCGGAAUCCCCAGGUAUGUCUAAGCUGUCUUCAUGGCGUGUCAACUCCAUCUCAGUUCCAAUGUUGUCCCUCUGCCUCCUGCCAGAUGUCCCCUUUCCCACAGCACCAGAACUCCUAGAAGCCCCAAAAUGUCAAUGCUGCAUAGUGCUCCCUCUCUCUUUGUCUUACGCUCUGUUGCAGGAAUGUCAGAGCUGCGUAGGUCAUGUCCAGGAGUCUCAGAGAAACAGCCCUGUCGGAUUUUAUGCACAGCACACCUGUUCUCAAGGGACUCUGACAUCUUCUGUGAAGUCCAAGGAGUAAGGACUUAGACACAACCUGAAGUGACAAACACUUUUAAGUCCUCCCAACCACAUCCCCUUGGCUCUGGAUGGUUUAAGACUUGUCCGUGGUUCAUUCUUCCUUUAGGCAGCUUUCUUUCUGAGGAGGCACCAUAGUCCCUCCAGAUAUGACCAGCUGCUCCUGAACCCCAAUCUAGGACCCUCCUGAUAAAAAACAAAAAUGGUUCUUUUUAUUUUAUUUACUCAAUUUUCAAUGCUUGUUCUCCUUAAUGAGCAUUUUCUCCAUCCAAGUGCUCAACUAGCUUGCACUACACAUACUCAGGGGAUCAUGUUAAAAUGCAGAUUCUGAUUCAGCGGAUCUGGGAUGGGGCCCAGAAUGCUGCAUUCUUAACAAGCCCCCAGGUGAUGCUGAUGCUUCUGGUCUUGGACCAAUCCUUGAGAAGCGAGGCUUAAGGGAUUUACAGAUAAACAUGACACACCCUGGUCCUCAAGGAGGUUCCAGUUUGGCUAGAAAAAUAAAUUUACG